GCAAGUCUGGUGCCAGCAGCCGCGGUAAUUCCAGCUCCAAUAGCGUAUAUUAAAGUUGUUGCAGUUAAAAAACUCGUAGUUGAACCUUGGGUCUGGCUGGCCGGUCCGUCUCACCGCGAGUACUGGUCCGGCUGGACCUUUCCUUCUGGGGAACCUCAUGGCCUACACUGGUUGUGGGGGGAACCAGGACUUCUACUGUGAAAAAAUUAGAGUGUCCAAAGCAGGCCUUUGCUCGAAUACAUUAGCAUGGAAUAAUAGAAUAGGACGUGUGGUUCUAUUUUGUUGGUUUCUAGGACCGCCGUAAUGAUUAAUAGGGAUAGUCGGGGGCGUCAGUAUUCAGCUGUCAGAGGUGAAAUUCUUGGAUUUGCUGAAGACUAACUACUGCGAAAGCAUUCGCCAAGGAUGUUUUCAUUAAUCAGGGAACGAAAGUUAGGGGAUCGAAGACGAUCAGAUACCGUCGGAGUCUUAACCAUAAACUAUGCCGACUAGGGAUCGGACGGGAUUCUCAUAAUGACCCGCUCGGCACCUCACGAGAAAUCAAAGUUUUUGGGUUCUGGGGGGAGUAUGGUCGCAAGG
RNAcentral lists this ribosomal RNA (576 nucleotides) under Penicillium chrysogenum. RNAcentral describes it as "SSU rRNA". It matches the Rfam family "Eukaryotic small subunit ribosomal RNA", at positions 555 to 1136 of the family's 1831-position model. Lineage: Eukaryota; Fungi; Ascomycota; Eurotiomycetes; Eurotiales; Aspergillaceae. The record is from RNAcentral.